GCCGGAGUGGUGAAACUGGUAGACGCAGCGGACUCAAAAUCCGCCGGGAGCAAUCCCGUGUCGGUUCGAUUCCGACCUCCGGCA
Molecule: transfer RNA, 84 nt
Filed under: Geobacter metallireducens GS-15
Lineage: Bacteria; Pseudomonadati; Thermodesulfobacteriota; Desulfuromonadia; Geobacterales; Geobacteraceae
Rfam family: tRNA
About the family: Transfer RNA (tRNA) molecules are approximately 80 nucleotides in length. Their secondary structure includes four short double-helical elements and three loops (D, anti-codon, and T loops).
Source: Rfam by way of RNAcentral